This is a regulatory RNA element of Firmicutes bacterium CAG:227, 99 nucleotides long. It matches the Rfam family "NiCo (Nickel/Cobalt) riboswitch aptamer". NCBI's taxonomy places the organism in Bacteria, Bacillati, Bacillota. The record is from Rfam.
CGACGUAAAACGAAACAGGCAGGAAAGAGAGAAAAAUCUUUACGUGCCGGGUCACAAAAGUGACAGCAGGUGAAAAUGAAAAGCAUCUGUGGGACAGUA